CAAUUGGAGGGCAAGUCUGGUGCCAGCAGCCGCGGUUAAUUCCAGCUCCAAUAGCGUAUAUUAAAGUUGUUGCAGUUAAAAAGCUCGUAGUUGAACCUUGGGCCUGGCUGGCCGGUCCGCCUCACGGCGUGCACUGGUCCGGCUGGGUCUUUCCCCUUGGGGAACCCCAUGGCCUUCACUGGCCGUGGGCGGAACCAGGGCUUUUACUGUGAAAAAAUUAGAGUGUUCAAAGCAGGCCUUUGCUCGGAUACAUUAGCAUGGAAUAAUAGAAUAGGACGUGUGGUUCUAUUUUGUUGGUUUCUAGGACCGCCGUAAUGAUUAAUAGGGAUAGUCGGGGGCGUCAGUAUUCGGCUGUCAGAGGUGAAAUUCUUGGAUUUGCCGAAGACUAACUACUGCGAAACCAUUCGCCAAGGAUGUUUUCAUUAAUCAGUGAACGAAAGUUAGGGGAUCGAAGACGAUCAGAUACCGUCGUAGUCUUAACCAUAAACUAUGCCGACUAGGGAUCGGACGGGGUUUCUUUUAUGACCCGUUCGGCACCUUACGAGAAAUCAAAGUUUUUGGGUUCUGGGGGGAGUAUGGUCGCAAGGCUGAAACUUAAAGAAA
This 603-nucleotide ribosomal RNA is filed under the name Trichophyton rubrum. Its description in RNAcentral is "SSU rRNA". It matches the Rfam family "Eukaryotic small subunit ribosomal RNA", at positions 545 to 1152 of the family's 1831-position model. Lineage: Eukaryota; Fungi; Ascomycota; Eurotiomycetes; Onygenales; Arthrodermataceae. The record is from RNAcentral.